ACUAUCUGUUAAGCUGUGAGGAGCUCUGGUCAGUCUAUAAUGAGCCCCUCAGCCCUGACCAGGACCAUCCAUAGUUCCCCUGGCUCUGGCAACUCAUGAACCAAGAAUGGGGCAGGGUGGAGGGACACGAGAGCCUGAGAAGAGCUGAGCCAGCAGAGCUACUACAUCUUCUGUCUCCAAGGCCCUUUGGGCAGGGUCCCUCGUUUGUGACAUUACUAUCCUUGAGGCCCCAUGUGGCGUGGCAUGAAGAAGGACAGGGAGCCUGGCCCAACCCCAUCUGGGAAGUACAUCUCCCAGGCAGUUCUGCUAACUCAAGACAAACUGGAUUGAGCUUAAGCUAGUGGUGACACACUUGUAGAGGUGACACACUUGUAGAGGCCCCUGGCCUUCUGCUCCCAUGACACUGGAUGGUGAGCAUGGCAGCUAGCCCAUCCUAGUCACGCAACUGUUCAGAGGGCCAACAUGGAGCUAUGGAUGGCCAGCUGGAAAGCACAGUCUGUAAUAGAGAGCCAGGGUUCCAGAAAGAACCCUCAUUUAGACACGAGAUGCAAUAGCCUGAACCCAACCACUGACAACCGGAGGGCUGCCUCCCGCCUUGCUUUGUGAGUCACCAGGGGCUGUAUUUAACGAGAGCCUCUUACUUCAUGAGCCUCCAUUGUCAUGAGGCCAUCUUCCCUGGCUCCCAGUUCCUACUUGCUUCUCUCAAUAAAAUCCACUCUAAUUGGG
Molecule: long non-coding RNA, 726 nt
Filed under: Mus musculus (house mouse)
Lineage: Eukaryota; Metazoa; Chordata; Mammalia; Rodentia; Muridae
Description: predicted gene, 36732 (Gm36732)
Source: RNAcentral